UACGUAGGGUGCAAGCGUUAUCCGGAAUUAUUGGGCGUAAAGAGCUCGUAGGCGGCUUGUCGCGUCUGCUGUGAAAUCCCGAGGCUCAACCUCGGGCCUGCAGUGGGUACGGGCAGACUGGAGUGCGGUAGGGGAGAAUGGAAUUCCUGGUGUAGCGGUGGAAUGCGCAGAUAUCAGGAAGAACACCCGUGGCUAAGGCGGCUCUCUAGUACGGUACUGACGCUGAGACGCGAAAGCGUGGGGAGCGAACAGG
This 253-nucleotide ribosomal RNA is filed under the name uncultured bacterium. RNAcentral describes it as "partial 16S ribosomal RNA". It matches the Rfam family "Bacterial small subunit ribosomal RNA", at positions 524 to 776 of the family's 1533-position model. The record is from RNAcentral.